CCUACGGGCGGCAGCAGUGGGGGAUAUUGCACAAUGGGGGGAACCCUGAUGCAGCGACGCCGCGUGGGUGAAGGAGCGUUUCUGCUCUUUAAGCCCUAUCUGCAGGGAAGAAAAUGACGGUACCUGAGUAAGAAGCCCCGGCUAACUACGUUCCAGCACCCGCGGUAAUACGUAGGGGGCAAGCGUUAUCCGGAUUUACUGGGUGUAAAGGGAACGCAGACGGCUGUGCAAGUCUGGAGUGAAAGUGUGGGGCCCAACCACCAGACUGCUGUGGACACUGUAAAGAUGGAGUGCAGGAGAGGUAAGCGGAAUGCCUAGUGUAGCGGUGAAAUGCGUAGAUAUUAGGCGGAACACCAGUGGCGAAGGCGGCUUACUGGACUGCAACUGACGUUGAGGCUCGAAAGCGUGGGGAGCAAACAGGAUUAGAUACCCGAGUAGUC
Molecule: ribosomal RNA, 440 nt
Filed under: uncultured bacterium
Lineage: Bacteria
Description: partial 16S ribosomal RNA
Rfam family: Bacterial small subunit ribosomal RNA
Source: RNAcentral